Long non-coding RNA from Medicago truncatula (barrel medic), 472 nucleotides. RefSeq lists it as uncharacterized. The transcript is spliced from 2 exons. The record is from RefSeq and is a predicted model, not a curated record. Lineage: Eukaryota; Viridiplantae; Streptophyta; Magnoliopsida; Fabales; Fabaceae.
CUAUUUAUCUGAAGCUAAGGAAGCAUGAAAUAUUUAAUUAUAAAAUGAUCAAACAAGUCUAUUUGUUACAAGCAAAGGAGGAAAAAUAUGUCUCAAAUUCGUGUGUUUGUUUAUGCUUUAAUCAUCUUUCUAUCUCAAUUUCUUGUUGUAACGAGUACAACUACCUUUCCAUGCGUUUCUGAUGAUGAUUGUCCAGUGCCAUUGCCUCCUCCAUUUGCAAAGUGUGUUGAUGGUAUUUGUGAAUUCUUUAUAAAAGCUCAAGUUGAAAAAUAAUUAUGUUUCAAAGAAUAUUAUAAUUUUCUUAUUACGUCGUAAUGUUAGUACUCUUGUUGUAAGACCUGUAAUUUAGAUAUGAUUAAAUCUAGGGAUUUGUAUUUUGUCUUGAUGGUUACUUUGAUAAUAAAUGAUUUUAUGUAAUGUUGUGACCAAUAAAAUCCCCCCAACUCCAUUGAGGAGAAAAUAAUUUCCGUUC